GCCUCAUCCCUAUGCCCUCACCUCCGUGGUCGCAUCCUCGAGCUGGUGUCUCAUCCCCGAGCCGCCCCUCACCCCUCAGUCCCUACACACCAAACUGCACCUCAGUUCCUGCAUGGCAGCUCGCCUUCUGUUGUAAGUAUUAGCAACGGCUAAUGUUGUCACUAAAAAUUAAUUUUUAUUUAAAUUAUAUUAAUUAAGUAUAAUUAGAUAUUAAAAAUUAAUUAAU
This 226-nucleotide long non-coding RNA is filed under the name Elaeis guineensis (African oil palm). RNAcentral's name for it is "long non-coding RNA (EGUI_LNC010042)". The record is from RNAcentral. Lineage: Eukaryota; Viridiplantae; Streptophyta; Magnoliopsida; Arecales; Arecaceae.